AUUGAACGCUGGCGGCAUGCCUUACACAUGCAAGUCGAACGGUAACGGGCCUUCGGGUGCCGACGAGUGGCGCACGGGUGCGUAAUACAUCGGAACGUGCCCGAUCGUGGGGGAUAACGAGGCGAAAGCUUUGCUAAUACCGCAUACGAUCUACGGAUGAAAGCAGGGGACCGCAAGGCCUUGCGCGGACGGAGCGGCCGCUGGCAGAUUAGGUAGUUGGUGGGAUAAAAGCUUACCAAGCCGACGAUCUGUAGCUGGUCUGAGAGGAUGAUCAGCCACACUGGGACUGAGACACGGCCCAGACUCCUACGGGAGGCAGCAGUGGGGAAUUUUGGACAAUGGGCGCAAGCCUGAUCCAGCCAUGCCGCGUGCAGGAUGAAGGCCUUCGGGUUGUAAACUGCUUUUGUACGGAACGAAAAGCCUUCUUUUAAUACAGGAGGGUCAUGACGGUACCGUAAGAAUAAGCACCGGCUAACUACGUG
Molecule: ribosomal RNA, 482 nt
Filed under: uncultured bacterium
Lineage: Bacteria
Description: partial 16S ribosomal RNA
Rfam family: Bacterial small subunit ribosomal RNA
Source: RNAcentral